AUUAUGUUAAUUAAUUUUAUUAGUUAAUAAACUUAUUUAAUUUGUAACUUUUAAUAAUCAAUGAGCUUGAUUAUAAGCGUAU
RNAcentral lists this transfer RNA (82 nucleotides) under Corynoneura scutellata. Its description in RNAcentral is "partial tRNA-Ser". Lineage: Eukaryota; Metazoa; Arthropoda; Insecta; Diptera; Chironomidae. The record is from RNAcentral.